ACUAUAACGCUUUGUCUUGGUGUGCUAUUUCAUUAAGAAUGGGCCUAUGAUGUUAGCCUUACGAUCAAGGAGGAGAAUGUUGGAAUUGAUCUCAGCCUUAUCCCUAACGUGACCGAGAAAGAAGGAGGAGUCUGUUUCCCUCCAGCGCUCUGAUCGGGAGCCCCAACAAACAAAUGGUUGCGGUCCCACCUUGUGCUGCGAUAUAUAAACCAAAGGUGGGGAGUCCCGUGCAGCGUGUGAUCACAAUUCUCAUGUUAGGCUAAAUCUCUCCCCACAUACCCUAAUCUAUCCGAUCCUAAGAGCAUGCAGUGAACAAGGUGAAGACCAUCGCCGUCAUCACCAUCGACAGCAUCCACAUCUACACUAACGCACUUCGACCUCACCGUCAAGCACUAAUGGCGUUACCGAACGCAGGUACAUGUCCAUACACUUCCGCUUAAGAUGGUGUUUGAUAUUAGGGUUAAUGAUCUUCUUAAUUAAGGCUGAAUCAUGUCAACAGAUAGGUGUGCAUGUCCACAAAGCUAAAUGGAAAUGAGUACCAAAGGUGAAAAUAUCCCAAGAUCUAUGCAGUCACUGAGAUUCAAGUAAUACAUGGCAUAUAAGAACUCAAGAAUGAUGUCAUGGCUUAAAGUUGUGGUGAGCAUCAAGAAUCUACUAUCAUAUUUGAUCCAGUUUAUCUACUGAAAAGGGUGCUUUCAUCCACAAGAGUGCCAAAAGGAGGUUUUAUACUGUAGUGCCAAAAGGAGGGUAAAAGGAGCAGGAUCAUUGUUUUGGUAUUGCCAAGGUGCACUUAGCUGUUUACAUUCCAUAGAGAGGUUGAAGUGACUGGAAUGAGUUCAGUAAGUUCCCCUUUACUACUAUGCUUUGCUUGAAUCUAGCUGAUGUUGACCUGCAUCCGAUGCUUUUGAAUGAUUGGAACUUGGAGGAUACCUGUUACCAGGUGUGUUUCCUACUCAAUGUGUAUCUGAAACGUGGAUUCCUUUUUGAGAAACAGUUGGUUCUUAUUUAUAACCUCUUGGUUCACUUUGGAAUGAUUAUCCCAUAAAAUUCUUCAAGUUGUCCUUUCAGUAUGAGGAGGUCAGCCCAGGCCGUUGCAAGCUUAGGAUGUGGCUAUUCGGUUGCAAAGACGAUAAAGCACAAGUCUAGGACAGAGACAUCAACUAACACUCUGUGGCACACCAUUUGCACUCACUGUGUGACUUCCUGGAAAAUGCAAAUCUCCACAAGUGCAGGCUGGACCAGAUUACCAGUACUCCCUCCCAAGGGCAGGCUGAAAUCGCCUGCCAAGGUUGUUUUACCGUACUCUUAGGAGACUAGGACGUAUUGUUCUCUCUCCAUUGAUUUGCCUGAACUCAACGCUCAGUGUUCUGUUUUGUUUUCUUUCUUGUAUUUGAAAUGUUGGGUAGUUCAACAUGCCAUACAUACACCAACUCUGUAAGAAAAGUUUGGGGAA
This is a long non-coding RNA of Phragmites australis (common reed), 1453 nucleotides long. RefSeq lists it as uncharacterized. Lineage: Eukaryota; Viridiplantae; Streptophyta; Magnoliopsida; Poales; Poaceae. The transcript has 2 exons. The record is from RefSeq and is a predicted model, not a curated record.